RNAcentral lists this ribosomal RNA (396 nucleotides) under uncultured bacterium. RNAcentral's name for it is "partial 16S ribosomal RNA". It matches the Rfam family "Bacterial small subunit ribosomal RNA", at positions 523 to 918 of the family's 1533-position model. The record is from RNAcentral.
AUACGUAGGUGACAAGCGUUAUCCGGAUUUACUGGGCGUAAAGGGCGUGUAGGCGGUCUUGCAAGUCAGAAGUGAAAUUCCUGAGCUCAACUCGGGCGCUGCUUCUGAAACUGCAGGACUUGAGUGCUGGAGGGGAUAGCGGAAUUCCUAGUGGAGCGGUAAAAUGCGCAGAUAUUAGGAAGAACACCGGUGGCGAAGGCGGCUAUCUGGACAGUAACUGACGCUGAGGCUCGAAAGCGUGGGGAGCAAACAGGAUUAGAUACCCUGGUAGUCCACGCCGUAAACGAUGAUCACUAGGUGUUGGGAGGCAAAGCCUUUCGGUGCCGCAGCUAACGCAAUAAGUGAUCCACCUGGGGAGUACGUUCGCAAGAAUGAAACUCAAAUGAAUUGACGGGG